Molecule: ribosomal RNA, 665 nt
Filed under: Heliconius cydno cordula
Lineage: Eukaryota; Metazoa; Arthropoda; Insecta; Lepidoptera; Nymphalidae
Description: bacterial SSU rRNA
Rfam family: Bacterial small subunit ribosomal RNA
Source: RNAcentral
AACGCAUUAAGCACUCCGCCUGGGGAGUACGACCGCAAGGUUGAAACUCAAAGGAAUUGACGGGGGCCCGCACAAGCGGUGGAGCAUGUGGUUUAAUUCGAAGCAACGCGAAGAACCUUACCAGGUCUUGACAUCCUUUGACCACUCUAGAGAUAGAGCUUCCCCUUCGGGGGCAAAGUGACAGGUGGUGCAUGGUUGUCGUCAGCUCGUGUCGUGAGAUGUUGGGUUAAGUCCCGCAACGAGCGCAACCCUUAUUGUUAGUUGCCAUCAUUUAGUUGGGCACUCUAGCAAGACUGCCGGUGACAAACCGGAGGAAGGUGGGGAUGACGUCAAAUCAUCAUGCCCCUUAUGACCUGGGCUACACACGUGCUACAAUGGGAAGUACAACGAGUCGCGAAGUCGCGAGGCUAAGCUAAUCUCUUAAAGCUUCUCUCAGUUCGGAUUGUAGGCUGCAACUCGCCUACAUGAAGCCGGAAUCGCUAGUAAUCGCGGAUCAGCACGCCGCGGUGAAUACGUUCCCGGGCCUUGUACACACCGCCCGUCACACCACGAGAGUUUGUAACACCCGAAGUCGGUGAGGUAACCUUUUGGAGCCAGCCGCCUAAGGUGGGAUAGAUGAUUGGGGUGAAGUCGUAACAAGGUAGCCGUAUCGGAAGGUGCGGCUG